AUACGGAGGGUGCGAGCGUUAAUCGGAAUUACUGGGCGUAAAGCGUGCGUAGGCGGUUGAUUUAGUCAGAUGUGAAAGCCCCGGGCUCAACCUGGGAACUGCAUUUGAAACUGGUCAACUGGAGUAUGGUAGAGGGGGGUAGAAUUUCUGGUGUAGCGGUGAAAUGCGUAGAUAUCAGAAGGAAUACCGAUGGCGAAGGCAGCCCCCUGGACCAAUACUGACGCUGAGGUACGAAAGCGUGGGGAGCAAACAGGAUUAGAUACCCGGGUAGUCC
Molecule: ribosomal RNA, 274 nt
Filed under: uncultured bacterium
Lineage: Bacteria
Description: partial 16S ribosomal RNA
Rfam family: Bacterial small subunit ribosomal RNA
Source: RNAcentral